This 2741-nucleotide long non-coding RNA is filed under the name Chinchilla lanigera (long-tailed chinchilla). RNAcentral describes it as "lncRNA (ENSCLAG00000023187.1)". Lineage: Eukaryota; Metazoa; Chordata; Mammalia; Rodentia; Chinchillidae. The record is from RNAcentral.
AUGUAUGGACUUCGGAUUUUGCUCGUGACCCCAGUCUGUCCUCAGUACAGUGUGUCCACCCGAACUUUCAGGCAAACGCCGGCUCCUGCGACUGAGAACGUCUGUGAAGUGCGGAACCCUGAAGACCCUGAAACGGAGAUGGGGACACCAAGGCGCCCUCCAUACAGAGGUGAUGAAGGCCCCUUCCCUCGGCACCUUGUGCAUCUCCAGGGAUGGCAGGCUGUGGCCCUCUCCAGGUUGCUCCUGCCCAGCAGAGGGGUGAGGAAACUGCCCCUGGGAUGCUGUGACUCCUGUGGGAGGAGGGAGCAAGGGAGAGAAAAGUGAACUCUGGGUUUUUGAUGCAGAGGAGAGGAACAGUGGUGAAGUGGGCAUCUAAUCUCCUAAAAUAUCCAAAACCAAAGCAAGUAUCACAUCAUAAGAUGUACUUUUAUUUCCUCUUCCUUUUUCCACAUCUUCGUCUGGCCCAUGAGAGUGAUUCAUAUUUUUAUUUAAAUAUUUUUAACCCUUAUUUUAUGUCAACUAAAAAUCUUGACUUUAAUCUGUCCAGUGCAUUUUCUGCAGCCAAUUCUGAAACUUUAUCUUACUGCCUAGUGGCCAAAGGGAUAGGCCGAGUGCAGCCCCUCUUCUCAGCAGCCUCCAUGAUCUGAGUACAAUUGUACUUCACUUGGGUCACCCAGCAGCAGAAAUUCUGUAUCUAGUGGCCAAAAUGUUAACAUUUGCCAGAUGUGUGCUUUUCUUCUAUGGACAGCAUGGAAAAAAACACUGUCAAGUUCUUUAUAGUGUGUAUCACACGCCCAGGUGAGAAUAAACCUGGCCAGGGGAUGCCAGGUUUGGGCUCUGCAAAAUUCAUGUGUUGAAGUCCACACCCCUAACACGAUGGUAGCUGGAGAUGGGGACUUUAGGAGAUAUGUACAUGAGGUCAUGAUGGUGGGAAGAGCGUGAUAGGCUUAGCAUCCUUACAAAAGGAGAUACCAGAGUACAAUGUCUCCUCGUCCCCCACCUCAGGAUGUGGCUCUAUAAGUCAGCAAAAAGGCACAAACAUCAUGGCACCUGGAUCUCAGACUUCAAGCCUCCAGAGCAGUGAAAAGCAGUAUUCUGCCUCUGGUGUCACCCAGUCCGUGUUAUAGAUGCCCUUCCACUUACAGUGAGGUUAUGUUCCUUAAGCUCAUCCUGGAUGGAAAAUGUCUGAAGUCAAAGAUGCACUGACUGUGUCUACCUUUCCCCACUCUGCAGCCGUCGCACAGGGCUCUGCGGAGCAUCGGCCGGUUCCCGUGUGGUCUUGCGGCUGACUGGGCAUGACUGUUCCUGCCGCUCUCAGGGUCUCCAGAGCACAUCUCACCACGCACCACCAGCCUGGGCAAAGAGAAGGUUUAAAAUCCCAAGUACGCUUUCUACUGAAUGCUUAAUGCUUCCGUGCCACUGUGAAGUCAAAAAGUUAUAAGUGGAACUGUAGUAAGUUAGGGACUGUCUGUAUUUUGUUGCAGCUAAUACAGCAAAGAGGGUCUCUCACUCAGAUUACUGGGAUCUUAGAGAUGAUUCCCAGUGGCUUUGAAAUACAGAUUGUUAUGUAGGUAUGGAAAAGCCCACAGAUCAGGAGACAACCGCCAUGAAAGGAUUCGUUGAGGGCUGUGGUGUAGCUCAGGGGGAAGAGCAUGUGUGCAAGUAUGCUUACCAAGCACGUGUGAGGUCCUGUGUUUGAUCGCCAUUACAUGUACUGUAAAAAAAAGAAAGAUUGCUCUAUUUAUAGACCUCAAAAAAAGGGUGCACAUAGUCCUAUGGGGGCGGGGUCACAGCCAGGCUCCUGGGUAGUUGGGAGAGGGAGGUAGGGGAUGUGGAUAAGAGGCUUUUCUGUGCUUUCUGUGGGAAGGAACAGGCGAGGCAGGGUGAGCAUGCCUGCACUCAACUGGUUUGGAUAAUUUUAGUGGGCCCUGGGGCAUAAGAACUGUCCCCAGUUUUCUGGUCCCUAACUCUGAGUGAGGCCUGGAUACUGGUACAGAGUGAGCCCACUGAAUGAGGUGAGUGGCGGUUUAUGGCUCUGAUCACUGGUUUGCAUAUGGAAGGCACAUACACAGGUGAGUAUUCUCUCCAGAAAUUUGUCAUUCUCCAUGGUCAGCAAACCUGAUGAGACAAAGCAUCAGAGAGAAAAGGACAUGGUGCCGUGGUCAGCAUUUACAAGGGAAUAGGACACAUAAUUUAUAGAGUUAUUUUAUAUUUUUUAUAAUAUGCUCCCUAAGAGUCAAAUGCAGAAGAGUGCAGAUCUGUCCACACACUAGAAACCUAAAGAAUCCAGCUGAGGGCCUGGAUCCCAUGGCAAUAUCCUACAUGAGUCCAGCUGAAGACCUAGAGUGCAUGGCAAUGACCCAUGCAAGUCUGUAUCAAGGAUCUGCACUGGGAAGGCCCAAAGGUCAGUGGUGGAAGCUCGAAAGUCUGCACCAGGAGGAUGAAGGAUCUGUGCCAGCAGGCUGAGGGAUCUGCACUGGAGCCGGGAAGCGACACUCAAGAUAAGGACCAGAGUUCCCCUAAAGAGCACCGCAGUCACCCUUAGCAACAGCAAGGACCCAAAAUCCUCCAACUAUGAGAACAGCUGAGUUCAUAUCAGGAAAGCCAGUGUGACAAGUUUCUCCAGCAGAAUCAACAGCACACCAUCUUCCCCUCCAGUUCUGCUUUCAUGCUGCCGGCAACAAUCCUCAGGUGGCCAUUCACCCCGAGCACCGUGCUGAUUCAGUUCAACUGGGUGUUAC